GGGUAGCUCAGUGGCAGAGCACCUGCUUGGCAUGCAGAAGGUCCCAGGUUCAAUCCCUGCCAGCAUCU
Podarcis lilfordi (Lilford's wall lizard) is the source of this 68-nucleotide non-coding RNA. The record is from the annotation of a GenBank genome assembly. Lineage: Eukaryota; Metazoa; Chordata; Lepidosauria; Squamata; Lacertidae.